This 29-nucleotide non-coding RNA is filed under the name Cricetulus griseus (Chinese hamster). Lineage: Eukaryota; Metazoa; Chordata; Mammalia; Rodentia; Cricetidae. The record is from RNAcentral.
GAGGCGACUGCGGGCAGGUAAGAGUCCUU